Patella vulgata (common limpet) is the source of this 469-nucleotide long non-coding RNA. RefSeq lists it as uncharacterized. The transcript is spliced from 3 exons. NCBI's taxonomy places the organism in Eukaryota, Metazoa, Mollusca, Gastropoda, Patellidae. The record is from RefSeq and is a predicted model, not a curated record.
AUAAGAGCUAGAGACAGUGGUAUGCCAGUAAAGUCAGCAGUUAAAGUUUGUUCGAUAACAGUCAACAGAAAUAUUAUUGGUCCCCAAUUUACACCUGCCAGUAGUUCAGUGUCUAUCACGAUACCAGAAACACAAACACCUGGCUCUGUAUUAGUCGAUCUUGAUGCUACUGACAACAGUCCAAAUGCACCUGACAACCAGAUUACCUAUUCUAUUAGUAGUCAGUCUUCUGGGUCGUCUGAUUAUCUAGUUCUGGACCCGAAUGAUGGUAGAAUUCGAUUAAUACAGUCUCUGGCUGGAACUUCCUUCAAUGGAUUCCAGCUAACAGUAACAGCCCGUGAUGGUGGCUUCCCCAGUUUGGCAACAACAACUACUGUUAAUAUCAAUGUAGUUAGAGAGGGUACCCUUACCUUCGGUUUAAAUGACUAUGGUAGACGUAUAGAUGAAGAUUUAGGCGUUAAUUCUCUGG